UCUGGUGCCAGCAGCCGCGGUAAUUCCAGCUCCAAUAGCGUAUAUUAAAGUUGUUGCAGUUAAAAAGCUCGUAGUUGAAUUUCGGGGUUAGUAGAUUGGUCAUGCCUCUGGUAUGCACUGGUCUUACUGAUUCCUCCUUCCUGAUGAACCGUAAUGCCAUUAAUUUGGUGUUGCGGGGAAACUGGACUGUUACUUUGAAAAAAUUAGAGUGUUUAAAGCAGGCUAACGCUUGAAUACAUUAGCAUGGAAUAAUGAAAUAGGACGUUCGAUCUUAUUUUGUUGGUUUCUAGGAUUGACGUAAUGAUUAAUAGGGAUAGUUGGGGGCAUUAGUAUUCAAUUGUCAGAGGUGAAAUUCUUGGAUUUAUUGAAGACUAACUACUGCGAAAGCAUUUGCCAAGGAUGUUUUCAUUAAUCAAGAACGAAAGUUAGGGGAUCGAAGACGAUCAGAUACCGUC
This 455-nucleotide ribosomal RNA is filed under the name uncultured Rhizophagus. RNAcentral's name for it is "SSU rRNA". It matches the Rfam family "Eukaryotic small subunit ribosomal RNA", at positions 560 to 1019 of the family's 1831-position model. Lineage: Eukaryota; Fungi; Glomeromycota; Glomeromycetes; Glomerales; Glomeraceae. The record is from RNAcentral.